This 493-nucleotide ribosomal RNA is filed under the name uncultured bacterium. RNAcentral's name for it is "partial 16S ribosomal RNA". It matches the Rfam family "Bacterial small subunit ribosomal RNA", at positions 30 to 507 of the family's 1533-position model. The record is from RNAcentral.
AUUGAACGCUGGCGGCAUGCUUUACACAUGCAAGUCGAACGGCAGCGAGGAGAAGCUUGCUUCUCUGUCGGCGAGUGGCGAACGGGUGAGUAUAGCAUCGGAACGUGCCAAGUAGUGGGGGAUAACCAAACGAAAGUUUGGCUAAUACCGCGUAAGCUCUAAGGAGGAAAGUAGGGGACCUAAAUAAGGCCUUACGCUAUUUGAUCGGCCGAUGUCGGAUUAGCUAGUUGGUGGGGUAAUGGUUCACCAAGGCAAUGAUCCGUAGCGGGUCUGAGAGGACGAUCCGCCACACUGGGACUGAGACACGGCCCAGACUCCUACGGGAGGCAGCAGUGGGGAAUUUUGGACAAUGGGGGAAACCCUGAUCCAGCCAUGCCGCGUGUAUGAAGAAGGCCUUAGGGUUGUAAAGUACUUUUGUUAGGGAAGAAAAGCUAGUUUUUAAUAAAAAUUAGUGAUGACGGUACCUAAAGAAUAAGCACCGGCUAACUACGUG